Molecule: ribosomal RNA, 3013 nt
Filed under: Candidatus Parcubacteria bacterium
Lineage: Bacteria; Candidatus Parcubacteria
Description: 23S ribosomal RNA
Rfam family: Bacterial large subunit ribosomal RNA
Source: RNAcentral
AACUAAGGCUAAAGGUGGAUGCCUUGGGAGGUAAAGGCGAUGAAGGACGUGGCUAGGCUGCGAUAAGCCUGGGGGAGACGCCGAGCGGUCUUUGAUCCCAGGAUUUCCGAAUGGGGCAACCUACCAGAGAAAACCUCUGGUGUCCGAUAUUAUUAUUAAUAUCGGAAGCGAACCCAGGGAACUGAAACAUCUCAGUACCUGGAGGAAAAGAUACCAAUUGGUAUUCCCUUAGUAGCGGCGAGCGAAAAGGGAUCAGCCUAAACCCGAGCAAGCCGUUAGGCGAGCGAGGGGGUUGCAGGAAUAAAGCGUUCUCUUUUUAGUAAAAGCUCUGGUGCAUGGAGCUUUUUAAAAGAGAGGUAAGGUUACAAACCAAGAUAUUAGCUGAACGAUCCUGGAAUGGACGGCCAGAGAAGGUGAAAGCCCUGUAAGCGAAAAUAUCUUGGCCUUACUGCUUUAUUUCCUAAGUACCUCGAGAAAAGAAAAUCUUGAGGGAAGCAAGCGAAACUACUCGCUAAGGCUAAAUACUUUACCUCACCGAUAGUGAACAAGUACCGCAAGGGAAAGGUGAAAAGCAGACCGGUAAGGUCGGUGAAAUAGAACCUGAAACCUUUAGCCGACAAAAGACUCACGGUCCGUUCAGGAUUGUGGGCUGCCUAUUGAAGAAUGAGCCGGCGACUUCACAGUGCUACUUUGCUUAAGCGCAGUCAAGCGCGAAGGCUUAGUGAAAGCGAGGGUUAAUACCCCAAACUUUUAAGUAGCAUUGUGAGACCCGAAACCAGACGAUCUUACCAUGGCCAGGAUGAACCCUGUCGAAAGGCAGGGGGAGGUCCGAACCCGUUGGUCUCGCAAAACCAUGGGAUGAGCUGUGGUAAGGAGUGAAAAGCUUGUCGCGUCUGGAAAUAGCUGGUUCUUCCCGAAAUAGCUUUAGGGCUAGCGUGGUAUUUAUUGCAUCGGAGGUAGAGCCACUGAUAAACUGGUAAGGGCCGAAAGGUCAGCUAGUUUGUCAAACUCCGAAUGCCGAUGCAAAAUAGCCAUAGUCAGUCUGUGGGGGAUAAGCUCCAUAGACAAAAGGGAAACAACCCAGACCAUCGACUAAGGUCCCUAAAUUUUAGCUUAGUGGAGAAGGCAGUGGUUUUUCUGAGACAGCUAGGAGGUUGGCUUAGAAGCAGCCAUCCUUUAAAGAAUGCGUAACAGCUCACUAGUUGAGGAAAACCGCGCCGAAAAAUAAACGGGGCUAAGCUAAAUACCGAAGUCAUGGUUCUAUGCCAUUUUUUUGGCAUAGAAGGUAGGGAAGCAUUCCGUAUGCGAUGAAGAUUGACUCGCGAGAGCAAUUGGAGCGUACGGAAGAGAGAAUGCCGGCAUGAGUAACCGCAAAUCAGCUGAAAUGGCUGAUCGCCGUAAAGACAAGGUUUCCUUGGCAAUGGAAAUCAGCCAAGGGUUAGGCAGGACCUAAGGUGUAGCCGAAAGGCGAAACCGAUGGACAGCUGGUUAAUAUUCCAGCCCUACUUUAAGUUGCGAUGGGGUGACGAAGGAAAUAAGAAAAAGAGGAGAAAUGGUUAUCCUUUGCUUUUAUUUAGACUGGAGAAAGAGGAAAAUCCCUUUCUCUGCCUUUAAUGGCAACAGUCGUAUAAAAGCAGGAGCUUGCUUUUGCAAGCAACUUUUUCGAAGAGCCUUCCAGGAAAAACCUCUAAGCAUAAACUUAAAGUACCUGUACCGUAAAACCGACGCAGGUGUCUGAGGCGAGUAGCCUAAGGCGAACGAGUGAGGUCUCCUCAAGGAACUCGGCAAAAAAGCGGGCGUAACUUCGGGAUAAGCCCUCCCCGUAUCCUUAAAGAUAUGGGGCGCAGCGAAAGUUUCUCUGGCGACUGUUUAUCAAAAACACAGCUCCCUGCUUAACUUGUAAAAGGAAGUAUAGGGGGCGACGCCUGACCAAUGCCGGAAGGUUAAAAACUUAAGGUUAAUAUUUCUUUUAAAGAAAUAUUAGCUUAUAAGUUUAAGCCCCGGUCAAUGUCGGCGGUAACCCUGACCGUCCAAAGGUAGCGCAAUUCCUUUCCGGGUAAGUUCCGGAGCGCAUGAAAGGCGUAACGACUGGAGAACUGUCUCGAGGAGAUGCUCGGUGAAAAUGCAAGCCUCGUGAAGAUGCGAGGUACUGGCAGCGGGACGAAAAGACCCUAGGAGCUUUACUGGGCUUACUCAUUGGUUUUAUUCUAUGGGUGCAGAGCGUAGCGGGGACCUGUAUAGGGCUUACCUUUUUAUUUAUAAAAAGGUAAGUGGCUAUGAAACUUCGAUUUCGGUCGAAGUGGAGCCGUCAAUGGAACACCCGCCAUCUAUAGGGUAAAAUCUAAUUCUAAGAAGAACUUAGAAGACAGUGAGUGAGGGCCAGUUUUGCUGGGGCAGCAGCCUCCUAAAGAGUAACGGAGGCGUUCAAAGGUUGGCUUAUCUUGGAUGGAAACCAAGACGAAAGUGCAAAGGCAUAAGCCAGCUUAACUGCAAGAGAGACAUCUCGCGCAGAGGCGAAAGCCGGACUUAGUGACCCGACGGUUCUUUGUAGAAAGGCCGGAGACAACGGAUAAAAGUUACCCUAGGGAUAACAGGCUGGUUGAGCCCGAGAGUCCACAUCGACGGCUCAGCUCGGCACCUCGAUGUCGGCUCACCCUAGCGCGGGGCUGGACAAGGUCCCAAGCGUCGGGCUGUUCGCCCGUUAAAAGGGUACGUGAGCUGGGUUCAGACCGUCGUGAGACAGGUCGGUUUAUAUCUGCUGUCAGCGUUUGGAAGCCUGAGGGGAGCUGGUCCUAGUACGAGAGGACCGGACUGGGGCAGCCUCUGGUGUAGGAGUUGUUUUUCCAAAAGCAGCGCUCCGUAGCUAUGCUGCCUAAAGAUAAGCGCUGAAAGCAUCUAAGCGCGAAGCUUAACCCAAGAUUAGGCUUCCUUAUUAGGCCACGGAUAGACGAUCCGUUUGAUAGGCUCCGACUGUAAGCCUAGUAAUAGGUUAAGGUUUGGAGUACUAAUGGCC